GGCCUCCCCUCAUUAAGAGUGGUUACUGCGUGAAGCAAGGGAAUGUGCGGAAGAGCUGGAAACGUCGCUUCUUUGCACUUGAUGACUUUACCAUCUGCUACUUCAAGUGUGAGCAGGACCGAGAACCACUGCGCACUAUAUUUCUUAAGGAUGUUCUCAAGACCCAUGAAUGUCUGGUCAAGUCUGGUGAUCUCUUAAUGAGGGACAACCUGUUUGAAAUAAUAACAAGCUCCAGGACCUUCUACGUACAGGUACAGUGUACAAUCUGAAGCCAUAUCAAGAAAUUUUUAUACUCUUACAUUAAAAUCCGUUGGUCAAUUUUGCACUUUGAAUAGAUA
This 338-nucleotide small RNA is filed under the name Pan troglodytes (chimpanzee). RNAcentral describes it as "processed transcript". The record is from RNAcentral. Lineage: Eukaryota; Metazoa; Chordata; Mammalia; Primates; Hominidae.